UGGAGGUGUGGUGGACUUGGAAAAAUGGGUCCCCUCUGCCAGUCCUAAGGUUCUAAGCUGCCCUUUGGGAGAUAAAAACACCCCAAGCCCCAGACCCUGGGCAGAGGAAGGCAUUGGGGCUGUAGAAGAGGACUGCUAUCACCGGUUCCAGGAAGGAGAGCUUGCUUGGAAUAAAGACAUGCAAGAUGGAAGCCCAGAAGCCUGAGGAGCAGGCAGUGUUUAUUGAGCACCUACUAUGUGUUAGUGGCAGACUCAGGGACAGAGAAGAGAGAAGCUGUUGGACUGUGUUUGUGGAGGGGCCGUGCCUUCUGGACUCAGCCUUUAUGUCCAGCUGAAUGGCCAGCGGGUUCCUCAGAGCCGCCCAUCAGAGCUGAAGAUCGUCUGGGUCUGGAGCUGGAGCUGGCAGUGGUCCUGUGGUCACUCUGGGGACUCUGGGAAGGACAGCCGUGCUUCCUGGGAGAGGCGACUCUAGACUCACCCAGGCCUGUGUCCCAUGUGAAGACACACAGGUGCGGGGAGGGGGGGUGCAUUGCAGCACUUGAAGGGCCAUCUCUCCCUUUCCUUAACUGCUGUGAAACACUGGAGCCAAGCUCCUGCAUUCUAGCACCUUCGUUUCUGGUCUUUAGGAAUGAACCCAUGGGCAACCUCUGCUGUGAAAAGGACAGGCUCUGCAGUUCAAUAGACUUAGGCUUGAAUCCUAGGGCCACCCCUCCUGCCUGUGCCUCAGCUUCCUUAUCUACUUGGUGGGGAUGAUCAAACCAGCUUCAAAGGGGGGCUGGGAGGUUUCCUGACAUCCUGGAUGAGAGAGACAUGCCUGGCAUGGACCUGACAUGCACCAGGUGCUGGGAACCUCUCUUCCUUCCUCCUUUUCCUCCAACCCACAUUUCUCUUGGUCUCUGCCCCAUGGCCUCCCUUCCCACCUGGACCUGCAUAGUAGAGAAGGGGGCACAAUGAGCCAAGAGUCUAGAACCCUGGGUCCUGAUUCUCACUUUGCCCUACUCUGCUGUAAGACCUCAGGCCAGUAUUUGCCCCUCUCUGGUUAGAUCAUCUCAAAGGCCCUCUCUCACAUUGGGUGUCCAGGUUGUGAA
Long non-coding RNA from Mustela erminea (ermine), 1088 nucleotides. RefSeq lists it as uncharacterized. Lineage: Eukaryota; Metazoa; Chordata; Mammalia; Carnivora; Mustelidae. The transcript has 4 exons. The record is from RefSeq and is a predicted model, not a curated record.